CUACGGGGUGCACCAGUGGGGAAUAUUGGACAAUGGGGGAAACCCUGAUCCAGCAAUGCCGCGUGUGUGAAGAAGGCCUGCGGGUUGUAAAGCACUUUCGGUUGGGAGGACUGCUUCUAGCACUAAUAUUGUUGGAAGUUGACGUUACCUUCAGAAGAAGCACCGGCUAACUCCGUGCCAGCAGCCGCGGUAAUACGGAGGGUGCAGGCGUUAAUCGGAAUUACUGGGCGUAAAGCGCGCGUAGGCGGCUAGAUCAGUCGGGUGUGAAAGCCCCGGGCUUAACCUGGGAACUGCAUCCGAUACUGUCUAGCUUGAGUACAGGAGAGGAGAGUGGAAUUCCACAUGUAGCGGUGAAAUGCGUAGAUAUGAGGAGGAACACCAAUGGCGAAGGCAGCUCUCUGGCCUGAUACUGACGCUGAGGUGCGAAAGCGUGGGGAGCAAACAGGAUUAGAUACCCGUGUAGUC
RNAcentral lists this ribosomal RNA (465 nucleotides) under uncultured bacterium. RNAcentral's name for it is "partial 16S ribosomal RNA". It matches the Rfam family "Bacterial small subunit ribosomal RNA", at positions 339 to 795 of the family's 1533-position model. The record is from RNAcentral.